RNAcentral lists this long non-coding RNA (4599 nucleotides) under Coffea arabica (coffee). RNAcentral describes it as "long non-coding RNA (CARA_LNC004515)". Lineage: Eukaryota; Viridiplantae; Streptophyta; Magnoliopsida; Gentianales; Rubiaceae. The record is from RNAcentral.
CUUUUUUUUUUUUUUUUUUUUUGGGUUUUCGUUGCAUAUGAAGGUCCAAGUUAAUGAUUGUGUGUAACUCCUGAUUAAAAUGCAAAGCUUGUCUAAACUUUAAAAGAUAUUAGACAAGGAAAAGAUAUUAUUGGUAAAAGAGGGGAAAAAACUCAUCAAUGUAUAUAGAGAUAAACCAAUUUUAAGCAAAUGAUUAGACAAGUCUAAAAUUUUGCAGGGGCUUGAGUUGUGUUGGGUGGUAAAAUGAGAGGUACUGUUAACCAAAAAAAGGGUCUAAAAUCUUGCCUUGCAAAGAAGAGAAUCAGAGGAGAAAAAGCUUUCCUCCCAACCAGGUACUUAGAGCCGUCAUUUGACAUGUAGCCUGUAGGAUUCGGAGGUCAGAAUUUAGGGUUAAUUUCGUCCUUCACGGUCAUUUUCAGAGAAACCUAGGGAAGAAAAGCCUUUCUUCUCUUCUUCCUGCCUGCAUUUGGAAAUAUCUGCAUGAUCCCGAAUACUUUCCAGGGCAAAUUAAACAAUUCUAUAGUUGUGUUAAUCUCAUGGAAUCAUUGUGAAGCACCAUGUGUUUUCAGAAUUUAUCACGAAGACAUUGGAAUGAAAAACCAUUAAUGGACGAUAAAUUCCCCUACCUGAAAGAGUCUGCAUCAGGUUAAAAGUCUCCAAGAUGGAGAAUUUAUCUGUGCCACUUGGAAGUCUACUCUAUCGAAACUCACAAGCUGACAACUGCCUCGAAUUAUAUAUAUCUAUAUAUAUAUAUAUAGAGAGAGAGAGAGAGAGAGAGAGAGAGAGAGAGAGAAAUUGCUGGCAGUAUUCCCAGAGCUGAAGGCCUCUUUUUUUUCACUUCAGAAAACAGGAAUUGGGCAACCCGAGCAACGAACAAUAGGGCAUAAGCACUUGUACCAGCACCAUUGUUGGCAUGAUCUUCUCCCUCAAAAUCAAAUGGUAAAUGAUAUAUUUCUGCAGCUAUUUGUGCCCGCGUUGCCUGAAUUAUCAUACAGCUUAUCGACAUCCUUGCCACAAAAACGGUAAGACCCGAAUUAUCUAUAGACAUCUCUGCAAGUAAACGUGCCUCAUGACCCACAACUGGCUAAUUGGUGAGUCCCAAGGGAUUCAAUUUCGAUAAUCUCAUGCAAAAUAAAGGGAGUAUAGAAUUCGAAAGCUUUUUUGUCGGGUAUGAACCAGCUCUGCAAUCAAAACAACGUUCCGCACAUUAAGAUGAUUAGCACCAUCUUACAGAAAGUUACAGAAGAAAUAGUUGUCAAUAUGACAUUAAGUAUGCUUAACUUGCACAAAUAUUGCCCAAAUGUCUACAUCAGGAAGGAUAGAACCAGACAUAAAACUCAGGAUAAGUCAAACCCAUAGCCCUUACAAAUUUAAACGCAGAGUCAGAAACAAUCAAGUCAAUUAUGAGUCCAAUGCCAACUUCUUACUGUACAAGAGAAUGUACAUCUAGAUGCCUGUUACAGAACCAGACAUGGUCAUUGAGACUCCUGAGAGAAUCUAAGUCUGCACAGUCCUGAAUCCUAAAACAUCUACCUGCAUUGCCAAGUAUCAGCAACUUUACACAGGCAAUUGUUUAUCUCCAACACGAUUUUAUUCAUCUUCCAACUCCACAAUCUGUGCCCUCCUCUCAGCUGCUUUCUUCCUGAUGAAAAAGCCCCAUCUCAUUGCAGCCUUAAUUUUUAGCCAGCCAACAACUGCUUUCCCAGAACGGGUGCGAUCCUCAUCAUAACUGUAGUUUGGAGAUGGCGAUGGCAUGUAAGAUUGGAAAGCAAAAUUAUCAUCAGGCACAUUAACAGCUGCAUGGCCUCCCAUGCUGAAAAGUCUAAGUAGGUGUUGCAUAUCUUCAUUCUCGAGCAUCUCAUGGCUUCUCAAACGAAUUUCCUCCUCCGACAAGAAGUCAUCCACACUCUUGUCACGAUUUUGAGUCCAGUCUUCAAAAGGAUUGAGGUUGGAUGGCUGAACAGAUGACCCAACUGUCUGGAAUGAUGAUGAUGACUGUGGAGGAGCAAGGGCCAAUGCUGCCCUAUUAUCAUAUCUUGUGUUCUGAAUUUGGUGAGAACUGCUGAUUUGCUGGUCAGGUAAACCAUAUGGAGUACUACCAUAUUGAUUGCGGGAACUUGAAUUCAGAAUUUGAGACUGGUUAGCAUAUCUGGUAGCCAUAUUAUCAUUAUAACCUGACCACGAGAUAGUAGUAGUAAAGGUUACAGUAAGAUGUAAAGUGGCCAACAAAAGUAACAUUGCAUAACCACAAAACAUACCGGUAAAUGUGUAUAUGUAAAUGAAGUUGAGAGAAGAUACUACACAAUGUAAAUGGAAAAAUCAUAGGGAGGAAAAGGUAAUUAGCCCCCAGUUUUGUACCACUAGAAACCAAGAGAUCAGAACAGAAAACAUCCCUAAUGAAAUGUAUUCAAAUCUCCUCUCUUUAUUUACCCCUUUUCAAAUAGAAGAUAGACUCAUAAGCAACAAAGGAGGAGGAUUUCUCGAUCCCAAAGGAGAUAUAUAAGCCAGCAUCAAUCUUAGCACAUAUUGCCUCCAUCUCAUAUGAAUGUUUCACAUUGACUACUCACUAGGGUUCAGAAAAAGUUCAAGAUACAAAAAAACAUAAAAAGAAAAGGGGAAACAAGUUGUUCCAUACACCAGAUCAUGUCCAUGCACUAUAUCCUCUAAUACAUCCUUCCCUAGGUAUUCUUGAUAUCAUGAUUGAUGGUAUCCAAUCUUCUCACUCCAAACCACAAGCGUUGGAUCCUUUUCACCAAAUUCUGCUACAAUGCCUCAACCCUUAGGGUGGAACAUAUCAGAGAGAGCAAAGCCAUAUUAUCCUACCCAACCGGAAACAUUACCCAAGUUCUCUGAUAAAUGCAUAUACUUCAAUGUUCAGGACGGACAAAAAAUGAAAUAAGAAAAAGAAAAGAAAACAUAUGGAUCUUACAGGGCAAAGGACAAGAGAAGCUGGGAACAAGUUCAACAACAUGGAAAACAAUCAUGUUGACCUGAUAUUAUAGUUUACCCAACUCAAAUAAAAGUAAAAGGUGCCUAUGCUAGGUCCAAGAGAUUAAUAUGAAAUGUUAAUAGUUUACCUAACUGAAAUGUUACUAUGGCUUCAUUACUUUAGAAUAUGAUGCAUCUUCCCAUUAGAUUGCUUUACUUGUACAUGUUGUUCGAGAAAACAUUUGGGAAAAUGGGGUUGACAUUAGGAGAUUACAGAUGCAUAUAUCUUGUACAAAAAGCAAACCAGUCAUCCACUGCAUGCUCAAAAGGUAGCAAACCAGAUAGCAGUUCAUUUGAUAUUCUAUAAGUUGACUUUACCUCCAAUCAGCAUGUUUGGAUCCACUGGAGAUGGCUCAGAUGGAACUGGUACUGGUAAUCGGGGCGGAUCUGAAAGCUGAUUAUCCAAAGCAUUAGGAUAAUCCACUGGCCCAACUGGAAGUUCAUCCCGGGAUGCACUUGAUUUCUUAUUUUGCUUGAAGUUCAGAAGAGACUUGCCAUCAUACUCUAUAACUAGGUUCCAGUUGUCAUAUGCUUUCUUUACCAAACCAUCAACAUAUAACUACAGGUAGAAGAAAUGAAAAUUCUGUUAAUAUGCACAACUUUUGCUAUGCCAAUGAAAUUUAGAUAUUGGUAAUUUUGGGAGCUUCCCCAACCAAAUUUAGUACAGACCUUCUGGCUGUCAGAAAGUGAAUCUGCUGGAAAAUACUGUUCACUAGCUAUAAGGCCACUCAGCUCAUAGAUGUUAUUGAAGACAACACCAACAUUUCUUGAAUCAUCAGAAUAGUAUACAUAAAGCUUCCCACUUAGGACACAAGUCUUUGCAUGCUCUAUGAGGGCGUCCCACAUUUUAUUUGACAUACCACUGCCAAGAAUCUGCUCUAACACCAAAAGAAUAUGUCAAAUACCAAUAAGGCAUGUUUCUCUUAUACUGGAAGCAGGGAUAGUAUAGUAGACUUACAGUUCGCAGCUUCUGAGGGUCUGUGACCACAAGCCUAAGGAAGUGUUCAACUGAAAAUAUCCCUGCAUUGUUUAGUCUUUUAUGGAAUGAUCCAUCCUUGCCAAUCUUCUCCAAUCUCCAUACAUCAUCAUUCAACGCAGGUGGAUAAUGCUUUUUGUACACUGCAACAAGGAAAGAAAACUUUUUAACCAAUUAUCAAAGUUAACAAGCAAAUAAGUCAACCAACAAGUAUCAUCAAGCAGCCUACAUUCCCCUCUGUGAUCUUUGACAGUGAAAGCCUCAGUCUUUGCUUCACGAACUCGUAUGCCUUCACAAUAUCCUGAUGCAACCUUGAGGCCAAGUCUGAACUUCCUACUCCUUAUCCAACUUGAAUUAUCAGUGAAGGUAAGCUCUCCUAAAGUUCCCACACCUUCCUUGAGUGUCACUUGUAGAUCGCCAGUCAACAAUGGUCUCUUUCCUUCCCGCUCUUUCACAACAUGGCUUUCAAAUUCUUCUUGAGUCCAGCUUUCAUUAUCUUCAGUGUUAAAAUCACCUUCUAGCACAAUAACAUCCAGCUUAACACACGAUUCAGGUCCAGAAGUGACAACAUGCCCUGUAUUUGCGUCAAUCAAGACAACAUGAAUUGCAGCUCCCUGCUCCCCUUCUACUUUACC